AUUAAAUCAAUUUAUGAAUUACCUAACACCACACGGUCAAUUUUACAAAAUUCAUAAAAGGUAAUUUUUGUCCUUUAAGAAGGAAGAACAAUAAAUGAUGAUUUAAUUACAAAAUUCAUAAAAGAUUAAUUACAUGGUCUUUUAUGCUCCAGGGGUAAAAUUGACUUUUUAAAAAAUUUCCGUUACAUAUUAACUGAGUUUUAACGGAAUGGUGGGAAAAUGCUAACAAUUUAAAUGUUUGGUGGUAAAUUGAUAGUUUUACCAAACCAUGGUACUGACAUGAUGUGUCAGAAUACCUUUGGUGGGAAAAUGAU
This 314-nucleotide long non-coding RNA is filed under the name Citrus maxima (pomelo). RNAcentral describes it as "long non-coding RNA (CMAX_LNC000315)". The record is from RNAcentral. Lineage: Eukaryota; Viridiplantae; Streptophyta; Magnoliopsida; Sapindales; Rutaceae.